GCCCAGACUCCUACGGGAGGCAGCAGUCGGGAAUAUUGCGCAAUGGAGGAAACUCUGACGCAGUGACGCCGCGUAUAGGAAGAAGGUUUUCGGAUUGUAAACUAUUGUCGUUAGGGAAGAUAAAGGACAGUACCUAAGGAGGAAGCUCCGGCUAACUACGUGCCAGCAGCCGCGGUAAUACGUAGGGAGCGAGCGUUAUCCGGAAUUAUUGGGUGUAAAGGGUGCGUAGACGGCGAGGUAAGCCUGAAGUGGAAGCCCGCGGCCCAACCGCGGAACUGCUUUGGGAACUGUUUUGCUGGAGUAUGGGAGGGGUAAGCGGAAUUCCUGGUGUAGCGGUGAAAUGCGUAGAUAUCGCGCAGAACUCCGAUUGCGAAGGCAGCAUGCCUGCUCCACACUGACGCUGAGGCACGAAAGCGUGGGUAUCGAACAGGAUUAGAUACCCGAGUA
This 447-nucleotide ribosomal RNA is filed under the name uncultured bacterium. Its description in RNAcentral is "bacterial SSU rRNA". It matches the Rfam family "Bacterial small subunit ribosomal RNA", at positions 329 to 792 of the family's 1533-position model. The record is from RNAcentral.